RNAcentral lists this ribosomal RNA (253 nucleotides) under uncultured bacterium. Its description in RNAcentral is "partial 16S ribosomal RNA". It matches the Rfam family "Bacterial small subunit ribosomal RNA", at positions 524 to 776 of the family's 1533-position model. The record is from RNAcentral.
UACGGAGGGGGCUAGCGUUGUUCGGAAUUACUGGGCGUAAAGCGCGCGUAGGCGGACCUGCAAGUCGGGGGUGAAAGCCCGAGGCUCAACCUCGGAACUGCCUUCGAUACUGCGGGUCUCGAGUCCGGGAGAGGUGAGUGGAAUUCCAGGUGUAGCGGUGAAAUGCGUAGAUAUCUGGAGGAACACCGGUGGCGAAGGCGGCAUCCUGGACCAACACUGAUGCUGAGGAGCGAAAGCCAGGGGAGCAAACGGG